UACGGAGGGGGCUAGCGUUGUUCGGAAUUACUGGGCGUAAAGCGCGCGUAGGCGGCUUUGCAAGUUAGAGGUGAAAGCCCGGAGCUCAACUCCGGAAUUGCCUUUAAGACUGCAUCGCUUGAAUCAUGGAGAGGUGAGUGGAAUUCCGAGUGUAGAGGUGAAAUUCGUAGAUAUUCGGAAGAACACCAGUGGCGAAGGCGACUCACUGGACAUGUAUUGACGCUGAGGUGCGAAAGCGUGGGGAGCAAACAGG
Molecule: ribosomal RNA, 253 nt
Filed under: uncultured bacterium
Lineage: Bacteria
Description: partial 16S ribosomal RNA
Rfam family: Bacterial small subunit ribosomal RNA
Source: RNAcentral